RNAcentral lists this ribosomal RNA (426 nucleotides) under uncultured prokaryote. Its description in RNAcentral is "bacterial SSU rRNA". It matches the Rfam family "Bacterial small subunit ribosomal RNA", at positions 355 to 796 of the family's 1533-position model. The record is from RNAcentral.
UGGGGAAUUUUCCGCAAUGGGGGGAGCCCUGACGGAGCAACGCCGCGUGCGGGAGGAAGGCCUGUGGGUUGUAAACCGCUUUUCUCUAGGAAGAAGGUCUGACGGUACUAGAGGAAUCAGCAUCGGCUAACUCCGUGCCAGCAGCCGCGGUAAGACGGAGGAUGCAAGCGUUAUCCGGAAUUAUUGGGCGUAAAGCGUCCGUAGGUGGUUUUGUAAGUCUGCUGUUAAAGCGUGUAGCUUAACUACAUAUAGGCGGUGGAAACUACAAAACUAGAGUGCGUUCGGGGCAGAGGGAAUUCCUAGUGUAGCGGUGAAAUGCGUAGAGAUUAGGAAGAACACCGGUGGCGAAAGCGCUCUGCGAGGCCGCAACUGACACUGAGGGACGAAAGCGAGGGGAGCGAAUGGGAUUAGAUACCCCCGUAGUCC